This 501-nucleotide ribosomal RNA is filed under the name uncultured bacterium. RNAcentral describes it as "bacterial SSU rRNA". It matches the Rfam family "Bacterial small subunit ribosomal RNA", at positions 27 to 518 of the family's 1533-position model. The record is from RNAcentral.
GAACGAACGCUGGCGGCGCGUCUUAAGCAUGCAAGUCGAACGGCAAGAGGUAGCAAUACCUCCUAGAGUGGCGGACUGGUGAGUAACACGUGGGUGACAUACCCUUCAGAUGGGAUAGCUAUUAGAAAUAGUAGAUAAUACCGAAUACGAGCACAGGGGUUAGAGAUCUGUGAGGAAAGGAGCUAAGGCUCCGCUGAAGGAAUGGCCUGCGGCCCAUUAGCUAGUUGGUGAGGUAAGAGCCCACCAAGGCGAUGAUGGGUAUCCGGCCUUAGAGGGUGAACGGACACAUUGGGACUGAGAUACGGCCCAGACUCCUACGGGAGGCAGCAGCUAAGAAUAUUCCGCAAUGGACGAAAGUCUGACGGAGCGACGCCGCGUGGAUGAAGAAGGCCGGAAGGUUGUAAAAUCCUUUUGAAACUGAAGAAUAAGCGUUGUAGGGAAUGACAGCGUGGUGACAGUAGGUUUUGAAUAAGCAACGGCUAAUUACGUGCCAGCCGCAGC